RNAcentral lists this ribosomal RNA (281 nucleotides) under uncultured bacterium. RNAcentral's name for it is "partial 16S ribosomal RNA". It matches the Rfam family "Bacterial small subunit ribosomal RNA", at positions 69 to 354 of the family's 1533-position model. The record is from RNAcentral.
AGACCCGGAAGGCGCGGGCCUUAGUGGCGGACGGGUGAGUAACGCGUGGGGAACCUGCCCCGUACCGGGGGAUAACACCUGGAAACAGGUGCUAAUACCGCAUAACAGAAGGGGACGCAUGUUUCUUUCUUGAAAACUCCGGUGGUACGGGAUGGACCCGCGUCUGAUUAGCUGGUUGGCGGGGUAACGGCCCACCAAGGCGACGAUCAGUAGCCGGCCUGAGAGGGCGGACGGCCACAUUGGGACUGAGACACGGCCCAAACUCCUACGGAAGGCAGCAG